GAUGAACGCUAGCUACAGGCUUAACACAUGCCAGUCGAGGGGCAGCAUGACCUAGCAAUAGGUUGAUGGCGACCGGCGCACGGGUGAGUAACACGUAUCCAACCUGCCGAUUAUUCCGGGAUAGCCUUUCGAAAGAAAGAUUAAUACUGGAUAGCAUAACGAGAAGGCAUCUUCUUGUUAUUAAAGAAUUUCGAUAAUCGAUGGGGAUGCGUUCCAUUAGUUUGUUGGCGGGGUAACGGCCCACCAAGACAUCGAUGGAUAGGGGUUCUGAGAGGAAGGUCCCCCACAUUGGAACUGAGACACGGUCCAAACUCCUACGGGAGGCAGCAGUGAGGAAUAUUGGUCAAUGGACGAGAGUCUGAACCAGCCAAGUAGCGUGAAGGAUGACUGCCCUAUGGGUUGUAAACUUCUUUUAUAGGGGAAUAAAGUGGGCCACGUGUGGCUUUUUGUAUGUACCAUACGAAUAAGGAUCGGCUAACUCCGUG
RNAcentral lists this ribosomal RNA (485 nucleotides) under uncultured bacterium. Its description in RNAcentral is "partial 16S ribosomal RNA". It matches the Rfam family "Bacterial small subunit ribosomal RNA", at positions 28 to 507 of the family's 1533-position model. The record is from RNAcentral.